GAUGAACGCUGACAGAAUGCUUAACACAUGCAAGUCGAUGGGGAAGUGGUGCUUGCACCAUGGUAACCAUGGCGGACGGGUGAGUAACGCGUAAGGAACUUACCUGCGGGACCGGGAUAACAGCAGGAAACUGCUGACAAGACCGGAUAAGGUCAUUAAGCUGCAUAGCUUAGUGAUGAAAGGAGACGCCUGCGGAGAGCCUUGCGUCCUAUUAGCUAGUUGGAGGGGUAACGGCCCACCAAGGCGAAGAUAGGUAGCCGGCCUGAGAGGGUGGACGGCCACAAGGGGACUGAGAUACGGCCCUUACUCCUACGGGAGGCAGCAGUGGGGAAUAUUGGACAAGGGGGGCAACCCUGAUCCAGCAAUUCUGUGUGCACGAAGACGGUUUUCGGAUUGUAAAGUGCUUUCAGCAGGGAAGAAGGAAGUGACGGUACCUGCAGAAGAAGCGACGGCUAAAUACGUG
RNAcentral lists this ribosomal RNA (463 nucleotides) under uncultured bacterium. RNAcentral describes it as "partial 16S ribosomal RNA". It matches the Rfam family "Bacterial small subunit ribosomal RNA", at positions 28 to 507 of the family's 1533-position model. The record is from RNAcentral.